Molecule: ribosomal RNA, 432 nt
Filed under: Pagurus ochotensis (Alaskan hermit crab)
Lineage: Eukaryota; Metazoa; Arthropoda; Malacostraca; Decapoda; Paguridae
Description: partial 16S ribosomal RNA
Rfam family: Bacterial large subunit ribosomal RNA
Source: RNAcentral
AUUCUGACUGUGCGAAGGUAGCAUAAUAAAUUGUCUUUUAAAUGGAGGCUUGAAUGAAAGGUUGGACAAAGUAUCAUCUGUUUCUUAAGUAUUUAUUGAAUUUGACUUUCAAGUGAAAAGGCUUGAAUAAAUUAAAAAGACGAUAAGACCCUAUAAAUCUUUACAAUAAACAUGUUCUAUAUUUUAAUUUGUAAGUAUAUAAAAUGUUAAAUUUGUAUUUGUUUCGCUGGGGCGGCGUAGAUAUAUAAAUAAACUGUCUAUAUAUUAAAACCAGUAAUUAUUGAUUAAUAAAAUUGAUCCUUAAAAAGAUUAAAAGAUUAAGAUACUUUAGGGAUAACAGCGUUAUUUUUUUUGAGAGUUCUUAUCGAAGAAAAAGUUUGCGACCUCGAUCUUGAAUUAAAGUAUACUAUUGGCGUUAUCUGAGUACAGACG